Molecule: ribosomal RNA, 491 nt
Filed under: uncultured bacterium
Lineage: Bacteria
Description: partial 16S ribosomal RNA
Rfam family: Bacterial small subunit ribosomal RNA
Source: RNAcentral
GUGAACGCUGGCGGUAGGCCUAACACAUGCAAGUCGAACGGCGGCACAGUAAGAGCUUGCUCUUACGGGUGGCGAGUGGCGGACGGGUGAGGAAUACAUCGGAAUCUACUUUUUCGUGGGGGAUAACGUAGGGAAACUUACGCUAAUACCGCAUACGACCUACGGGUGAAAGCAGGGGAUCUUCGGACCUUGCGCGAUUGAAUGAGCCGAUGUCGGAUUAGCUAGUUGGCGGGGUAAAGGCCCACCAAGGCGACGAUCCGUAGCUGGUCUGAGAGGAUGAUCAGCCACACUGGAACUGAGACACGGUCCAGACUCCUACGGGAGGCAGCAGUGGGGAAUAUUGGACAAUGGGCGCAAGCCUGAUCCAGCCAUACCGCGUGGGUGAAGAAGGCCUUCGGGUUGUAAAGCCCUUUUGUUGGGAAAGAAAAGCAGCAGGUUAAUACCCCGCUGUUCUGACGGUACCCAAAGAAUAAGCACCGGCUAACUUCGUG